This is a long non-coding RNA of Ananas comosus (pineapple), 1709 nucleotides long. RefSeq lists it as uncharacterized. The transcript is spliced from 3 exons. The record is from RefSeq and is a predicted model, not a curated record. Lineage: Eukaryota; Viridiplantae; Streptophyta; Magnoliopsida; Poales; Bromeliaceae.
UAAACUCUUAUGAAUCCCCGUUUCCUUUUGUCCACGUGGCGACAUUAGCUUAAUCUAAUCUUCUGUGGGCCCUACCUGUCAUCUUAAGGCACUCUGUUAUUUAAUUAGUGGGUGGGGCCCACCCAACUAAAUUUUCCCAUUUAAUCUUCCCUGCUUCUAAUUAAUUUCGUCUUCCACCUCCGGCUCCUUCGCUCGCUCCUCUAGGUGCCGCUCCGACUCCUGUUCCCUCUUUGGACGGACUGUUGGGCUGAGUUCAUGGCCGAACUUCUUGCCGUCGCACCCGUUCCCUUUGGCGACGCUUCAUUUCGUUCACCCCCUAGAUGCCGCUCCGACUCCUAUUCCCUCUCUGGAUGGAAUGUUGGGCCGAGUUCAUGGUCGUCCCUUCUUCUUGUCGCGCCGUUCCUGUUAGCGGCGCUUCGUUUCGGCUUAUUCAUUCCCUCCGGUCACAAAAAUGGCUCGGAUUCAUCCUCCGUGGUCCCUUCUUGCUGCCUAUAUAAUAUGCCUCUGUAAAAAUUUUAUUUGCAAAAAAAAAAAAACCCUAUUUCUCUCUUUCUGAUUUUUUCCAUCUCUGAUUUGGUAGCGAGCCCUCCGCGGCCUUCGAUUUCACCUCCACGGCCUUUGAUUUCACCUCCGGGAAGCGAAUCAAGCAGAAGCUUCUCGAUUACAAUCAAGAGGCCGAGCGGUUCCGAGGUAAGAAAAGGAAAAAGGCUCCCUCUUUUGAUGUUCCUCUUUUGCUAUUCAGUGGCUCUGGUAUUCUGUGUAUGCAAGGUAUCAUUUCUCUUUUCUGCCUAUUAAAUAACGCCUUCAUUUUUUUUGUUGAUUUUGUGUAGCCUUGCAUCAUUUACCUUGGUUUCAACUACCUAAUAUGUGCAUAUGUCAAUUCCCUCCAUGUAUUUAUCCCUGUUUAAUAAUUUACAAUUUUAGUUUGGAUCUCUAUUGGCCACAGCACUCAGUGGCUCUGGUAUUCUGUGUAUGCAAGCUAAACACUUUGAAACCCUAAGGUCUUGGCCGCGAUCAUGAUGGUUGCCGCUACCGCUGCCACUCUAACACCCUAGUACUUAGGCAUCGUGUGAUCAUCAGUCCUUGUUUCCAGGAGUGGCUACGCCAUGUUGAGGGUUCUUAAGUCCUAGGAUAAACAAUCGUUGAUGGCUACCAGAGCAGGUGAAGGUAUAUAAGCCAUCAAAUAGCAUUCAAUCCUGUUUUUAAUUUAAAAUGUGGAUAGAAUGAUAACUGAUGGUUUAUAUCUCCCUCUGUUGUACUACAGAACGGAUCCUACUAAAUUUUGUUUCAUAGGGUGGGUGGUGGUGGGUGAUCAAAAUAGUUGACAGUGAACAAUGGCUUGAUGCAAUUUCUUCUCAUGUGAGUGUCUGACAAGUUUGAAAUUGCAAUGAAAGUCACUUUCCAUUAACCUAACAACUUAAGUAGAAAAAAAUUUGAUCUAGAGAACCAGCAUGCAUGCAUGCACAGAGGUGACGAGCAUUUAAAUGGUCGGCAAGCAUAGCAUAGCUAGCAACUACGUCCUAGAUAGGCACAUUUGCCUUCCAGUCACUUCGAUUAGCCCGACAAGUACUAAUCCCAUUUGAUUUAUUUUGGUCAUGAAUAACUCUACAAACAUGUUACUUUGCUCAACAUUCUUGCAAUGAACCCAACUUCUAUUGGUUUUGCAACUUUCAGCAAGUUUUUGUGUCUUUGGAUUGUAUUUAUCCCUA